Molecule: long non-coding RNA, 721 nt
Filed under: Durio zibethinus
Lineage: Eukaryota; Viridiplantae; Streptophyta; Magnoliopsida; Malvales; Malvaceae
Description: long non-coding RNA (DZIB_LNC000051)
Source: RNAcentral
UACUAUUUCUCCGGUAAAGGCCUCCGGGGCUCAAGGGUUUAGCGAUGAAAAAUCUUUGGCAACGACCCAUGCCAGCGAGCAACCAUCGGACAGCGAGAAAGCAUCUGAACAUCAGGCUAAUACAAAGACAGACUUAGCCAUAAAGCUGCGACUUAGCCUCUUUGGCAUAUCGCUGCCACCUUGACUUUGGCACCUAUCAUCUUUGCUCACACGCCAAGAGCAAGAGCUGACCUUAGAGGCCUCCCCGACUUCUUCUUAGAGCUACUUUAGGUCGAGGUUCUGAAAGAAGAGUUGGCGAAGUAAACAAUUCCAUCUUCCAACAGUAGCUGCUAGUUCUUGACUCCGCUAUGACUCUUAUCGAAUCCACUCCCGAUGCCGGAACCGGUGCUCUGAUCAGACAGGAUCAGCUAUUGAUGCCAGAUCCAGAGUCGCUCAAAGUGCUAGAAGGAUUUUCCUCGCGCUGGCCAAGUCUAAUCCCAUUCAUUCCAAAACCAAGAACCUUGGGCCUUAAACCCCAGCUCGCACUCGACAUGAUCUUUGACAAUCAUGAGUCAGGAGGGUCAGCCCAGAAAGAGACUAGCAUAUUUUUGUUAGCAUGCAUAAAAAAAUUCAGCUAAAAACUCGAAGUGGAGAACAUUUUGUGACCGUUUGAAAAAAGUGUCCCCAUUUCAGACACUUUAAUGGCUACUGGCAGCAAACCUAUAAAAUCUCAAAUGCUCUU